RNAcentral lists this ribosomal RNA (510 nucleotides) under uncultured bacterium. RNAcentral's name for it is "bacterial SSU rRNA". It matches the Rfam family "Bacterial small subunit ribosomal RNA", at positions 28 to 530 of the family's 1533-position model. The record is from RNAcentral.
GAUGAACGCUAGCGGGAGGCUUAACACAUGCAAGUCGAGGGGCAUCACGAGGUAGCAAUACUUUGGUGGCGACCGGCGCACGGGUGAGUAACACGUAUGCAACCUACCCUGUACAGGGGGAUAACCCGGAGAAAUUCGGACUAAUAUCCCAUGCAAUUAUUGGAGGGCAUCCUUUGAUAAUUAAAGCUCAGGCGGUAUAGGAUGGGCAUGCGGAACAUUAGCUAGUUGGUAGGGUAACGGCCUACCAAGGCUACGAUGUUUAGGGGACCUGAGAGGGUUAUCCCCCACACUGGUACUGAGACACGGACCAGACUCCUACGGGAGGCAGCAGUGAGGAAUAUUGGUCAAUGGGCACAAGCCUGAACCAGCCAUCCCGCGUGAAGGAAGAAGGCCCUAUGGGUUGUAAACUUCUUUUCCAGGGGGUGAAUAAUUCCGAAUGUAUCGGGAGAUGACGGUACCCUGGGAAUAAGCAUCGGCUAACUCCGUGCCAGCAGCCGCGGUAAAACGUAG